RNAcentral lists this ribosomal RNA (253 nucleotides) under uncultured bacterium. RNAcentral describes it as "partial 16S ribosomal RNA". It matches the Rfam family "Bacterial small subunit ribosomal RNA", at positions 524 to 776 of the family's 1533-position model. The record is from RNAcentral.
UACGUAGGGGGCAAGCGUUGUCCGGAAUUAUUGGGCGUAAAGAGCGUGUAGGCGGCCAGAUAAGUCCGCUGUGAAAUCUCGAGGCUCAACUUCGAGCUGUCGGUGGAAACUAUCUGGCUAGAGUCCGGAAGAGGAGAAUGGAAUUCCUGGUGUAGCGGUGAAAUGCGCAGAUAUCAGGAGGAACACCGGUGGCGAAGGCGGAUCUCUGGGCCUUACCUGACGCUGAGGCGCGAAAGCUAGGGGAGCGAACAGG